This 667-nucleotide unclassified non-coding RNA is filed under the name Hevea brasiliensis (rubber tree). The record is from RNAcentral. Lineage: Eukaryota; Viridiplantae; Streptophyta; Magnoliopsida; Malpighiales; Euphorbiaceae.
GGGACAGAAAAAGGAGGCCGAAGAUACUUUUUUUCCCCCUGUCCAAUUGGUGCACCAAACAAAGGAUCAAGGGGGAUUGUCCAGUCCAGUCUAGUCCAUUGUAUCAAACCACUAUUUAUGUAGACACUCAGACAUGCUCUUAUUGGAAUUUGCAUUAAGGCCUUGAAUACAGACUGAACAUGGGGAAGAAGCAUCUAAAUAUUUAAUGAGUAGUUCAGUGAUAAUGAUUAGUUAACUGAUUCCUUGCUUAUACAAAGCUGAAAAAGCAUGUUUUUAUACAUAAUGAAUCAUCAGAGAGCCGCACUGCUUAGCAAAAUGAUGCAGUAGUGACAAUGACUGAAAAGAAUGACUUUUGCUUUAUUUUUACUAAUGAAUUUCCUCUUUUCUUUAUGUUUGUGGUGGGUACUUUAAUUAUUUUUCCACAUGUAGAAUGGCCAGUUAUUUUAGAUAUAGGGGUGAAGUAUAACUUUUGUGAGAACAUUUUUUUUUCUAAAAAAACUUGGCUUCAUGUUCCCAGCUCCCCUCCAAACGAAAAAACCUCUUCCAAAACCUAAAACAAAAUCUUUGUUGCUUCUUUUGACUGAUCAGAUAUAUUAUUCUAGAUUUUCUACAUCUGAUAAUCUCUCUUGUCCAUCCUUUACAGAAGUUCAUCCUUGGUGGGAGGUUG